UCAAAUGUUUAAGUGCAGGAGGCCCU
This 26-nucleotide non-coding RNA is filed under the name Rattus norvegicus (Norway rat). Lineage: Eukaryota; Metazoa; Chordata; Mammalia; Rodentia; Muridae. The record is from RNAcentral.